GAUGAACGCUGGCGGUGUGCCUAAUACAUGCAAGUCGAGCGGAAAGACAAUAAGAUUUCUCCUUUGCCGUUAGCGGCUGACGGACGAGUAACACGUAGAUCACCUACUAAUAUGACUGGGAUAAUUACGGGGAAAAGGAGCUGCUAAUAGCUAAUAUGAUGAACCGCUUGAAUCAACAGUGAUAGACGCUCUUGCCGUUUCUAUUAGCUGAAUCCGCGUCGCAUUAGCUAGUUGGUAAGGUAACGGCAUACCAAGGAUACGAUGCGUAGCUGACCUGAGAGGGUGAUCGGCCACACUGGAACUGAGACACGGUCCAGACUCCUACGGGAGGCAGCAGUGGGGAAUCUUCGGCAAUGGGCGAAAGCCUGACGCAGCCACACCGCGUGAGUGAAGAAGGCCUUCGGAUCGUAAAGCCCUUUUAUUAGGAAAGAAAAGAUGUAUAAGUAUCUAUGCCCGUCUUGACGGUACCUAAACAAAAAGCCACGGCUAACUUCGUG
This 497-nucleotide ribosomal RNA is filed under the name uncultured bacterium. RNAcentral describes it as "partial 16S ribosomal RNA". It matches the Rfam family "Bacterial small subunit ribosomal RNA", at positions 28 to 507 of the family's 1533-position model. The record is from RNAcentral.